RNAcentral lists this non-coding RNA (25 nucleotides) under Mus musculus (house mouse). The record is from RNAcentral. Lineage: Eukaryota; Metazoa; Chordata; Mammalia; Rodentia; Muridae.
UGAAAGAAAGGUGCUUAAGCCAGCA